This 253-nucleotide ribosomal RNA is filed under the name uncultured bacterium. RNAcentral's name for it is "partial 16S ribosomal RNA". It matches the Rfam family "Bacterial small subunit ribosomal RNA", at positions 524 to 776 of the family's 1533-position model. The record is from RNAcentral.
GACGAGGGGUCCAAGCGUUGCUCGGAAUCAUUGGGCGUAAAGCGGGUGUAGGCGGCUUUGCAAGUCGGAAGUGAAAUCCCUGGGCUUAACCCAGGACGUGCUUUCGAUACUGCUUAGCUUGAGUGUGGGAGAGGAUAGUGGAAUUCCAGGUGUAGUGGUGAAAUACGUAGAUAUCUGGAGGAACACCGGUGGCGAAGGCGGCUAUCUGGCCCAACACUGACGCUCAGACCCGAAAGCGUGGGGAUCAAACAGG